AGCGACUAAGCGUACACGGUGGAUGCCCUGGCAGUCAGAGGCGAUGAAGGGCGUGCUAAUCUGCGAUAAGCGCCGGUAAGGUGAUAUGAACCGUUAUAACCGGCGAUACCCGAAUGGGGAAACCCAGUGUGACUCGUCACACUAUCAUUAACUGAAUCCAUAGGUUAAUGAGGCGAACCGGGGGAACUGAAACAUCUAAGUACCCCGAGGAAAAGAAAUCAACCGAGAUUCCCCCAGUAGCGGCGAGCGAACGGGGAGGAGCCCAGAGCCUGAAUCAGCAUGUGUGUUAGUGGAAGCGUCUGGAAAGGCGCGCGAUACAGGGUGACAGCCCCGUACACAAAAGCGCAUGUGCUGUGAGCUCGAUGAGUAGGGCGGGACACGUGGUAUCCUGUCUGAAUAUGGGGGGACCAUCCUCCAAGGCUAAAUACUCCUGACUGACCGAUAGUGAACCAGUACCGUGAGGGAAAGGCGAAAAGAACCCCGGCGAGGGGAGUGAAAAAGAACCUGAAACCGUGUACGUACAAGCAGUGGGAGCACCCUUUGGGUGUGACUGCGUACCUUUUGUAUAAUGGGUCAGCGACUUAUAUUCUGUAGCAAGGUUAACCGAAUAGGGGAGCCGGAGGGAAACCGAGUCUUAAUUGGGCGUUAAGUUGCAGGGUAUAGACCCGAAACCCGGUGAUCUAGCCAUGGGCAGGUUGAAGGUUGGGUAACACUAACUGGAGGACCGAACCGACUAAUGUUGAAAAAUUAGCGGAUGACCUGUGGCUGGGGGUGAAAGGCCAAUCAAACCGGGAGAUAGCUGGUUCUCCCCGAAAGCUAUUUAGGUAGCGCCUCGUGAAUUCAUCUCCGGGGGUAGAGCACUGUUUCGGCUAGGGGGCCAUCCCGGCUUACCAACCCGAUGCAAACUGCGAAUACCGGAGAAUGUUAUCACGGGAGACACACGGCGGGUGCUAACGUCCGUCGUGAAGAGGGAAACAACCCAGACCGCCAGCUAAGGUCCCAAAGUCAUGGUUAAGUGGGAAACGAUGUGGGAAGGCCCAGACAGCCAGGAUGUUGGCUUAGAAGCAGCCAUCAUUUAAAGAAAGCGUAAUAGCUCACUGGUCGAGUCGGCCUGCGCGGAAGAUGUAACGGGGCUAAACCAUGCACCGAAGCUGCGGCAGCGACACUGUGUGUUGUUGGGUAGGGGAGCGUUCUGUAAGCCUGUGAAGGUGUGUCGUGAGGCAUGCUGGAGGUAUCAGAAGUGCGAAUGCUGACAUAAGUAACGAUAAAGCGGGUGAAAAGCCCGCUCGCCGGAAGACCAAGGGUUCCUGUCCAACGUUAAUCGGGGCAGGGUGAGUCGACCCCUAAGGCGAGGCCGAAAGGCGUAGUCGAUGGGAAACGGGUUAAUAUUCCCGUACUUGGUGUUACUGCGAAGGGGGGACGGAGAAGGCUAUGUUGGCCGGGCGACGGUUGUCCCGGUUUAAGCGUGUAGGUGUGUGUUCCAGGUAAAUCCGGUUCACUUUAACACUGAGGCGUGACGACGAGGCACUACGGUGCUGAAGCAACAAAUGCCCUGCUUCCAGGAAAAGCCUCUAAGCAUCAGGUAACAUCAAAUCGUACCCCAAACCGACACAGGUGGUCAGGUAGAGAAUACCAAGGCGCUUGAGAGAACUCGGGUGAAGGAACUAGGCAAAAUGGUGCCGUAACUUCGGGAGAAGGCACGCUGACACGUAGGUGAAGUGAUUUACUCAUGGAGCUGAAGUCAGUCGAAGAUACCAGCUGGCUGCAACUGUUUAUUAAAAACACAGCACUGUGCAAACACGAAAGUGGACGUAUACGGUGUGACGCCUGCCCGGUGCCGGAAGGUUAAUUGAUGGGGUCAGCGCAAGCGAAGCUCCUGAUCGAAGCCCCGGUAAACGGCGGCCGUAACUAUAACGGUCCUAAGGUAGCGAAAUUCCUUGUCGGGUAAGUUCCGACCUGCACGAAUGGCGUAAUGAUGGCCAGGCUGUCUCCACCCGAGACUCAGUGAAAUUGAACUCGCUGUGAAGAUGCAGUGUACCCGCGGCAAGACGGAAAGACCCCGUGAACCUUUACUAUAGCUUGACACUGAACAUUGAGCCUUGAUGUGUAGGAUAGGUGGGAGGCUUUGAAGUGUGGACGCCAGUCUGCAUGGAGCCGACCUUGAAAUACCACCCUUUAAUGUUUGAUGUUCUAACGUGGACCCGUUACCCGGGUUGCGGACAGUGUCUGGUGGGUAGUUUGACUGGGGCGGUCUCCUCCUAAAGAGUAACGGAGGAGCACGAAGGUUGGCUAAUCCUGGUCGGACAUCAGGAGGUUAGUGCAAUGGCAUAAGCCAGCUUGACUGCGAGCGUGACGGCGCGAGCAGGUGCGAAAGCAGGUCAUAGUGAUCCGGUGGUUCUGAAUGGAAGGGCCAUCGCUCAACGGAUAAAAGGUACUCCGGGGAUAACAGGCUGAUACCGCCCAAGAGUUCAUAUCGACGGCGGUGUUUGGCACCUCGAUGUCGGCUCAUCACAUCCUGGGGCUGAAGUAGGUCCCAAGGGUAUGGCUGUUCGCCAUUUAAAGUGGUACGCGAGCUGGGUUUAGAACGUCGUGAGACAGUUCGGUCCCUAUCUGCCGUGGGCGCUGGAGAACUGAGGGGGGCUGCUCCUAGUACGAGAGGACCGGAGUGGACGCAUCACUGGUGUUCGGGUUGUCAUGCCAAUGGCACUGCCCGGUAGCUAAAUGCGGAAGAGAUAAGUGCUGAAAGCAUCUAAGCACGAAACUUGCCCCGA
Molecule: ribosomal RNA, 2771 nt
Filed under: Salmonella enterica subsp. enterica serovar Enteritidis
Lineage: Bacteria; Pseudomonadati; Pseudomonadota; Gammaproteobacteria; Enterobacterales; Enterobacteriaceae
Description: partial 23S ribosomal RNA
Rfam family: Bacterial large subunit ribosomal RNA
Source: RNAcentral